Molecule: ribosomal RNA, 698 nt
Filed under: uncultured bacterium
Lineage: Bacteria
Description: bacterial SSU rRNA
Rfam family: Bacterial small subunit ribosomal RNA
Source: RNAcentral
GGCGGCAUGCCUUACACAUGCAAGUCGAACGGCAGCGCGUCCUUCGGGAUGGCGGCGAGUGGCGAACGGGUGAGUAAUACAUCGGAACGUGCCCGAGAGUGGGGGAUAACGCAGCGAAAGCUGUGCUAAUACCGCAUACGAUCUCAGGAUGAAAGCAGGGGACCGCAAGGCCUUGCGCUCACGGAGCGGCCGAUGGCAGAUUAGGUAGUUGGUGGGAUAAAAGCUUACCAAGCCGACGAUCUUUAGCUGUUCUGAGAGGAAGAUCAGCCACACUGGGACUGGGACACGGCCCAGACUCCUACGGGAGGCAGCAGUGGGGAAUAUUGGACAAUGGGCGCAAGCCUGAUCCAGCCAUGCCGCGUGAGUGAUGAAGGCCUUAGGGUUGUAAAGCUCUUUUACCAGGGAAGAUAAUGACGGUACCUGGAGAAUAAGCCCCGGCUAACUUCGUGCCAGCAGCCGCGGUAAUACGAAGGGGGCUAGCGUUGCUCGGAAUCACUGGGCGUAAAGCGCACGUAGGUGGGUCGUUAAGUCGGGGGUGAAAUCCUGGAGCUCAACUCCAGAACUGCCUUCGAUACUGGCGAUCUUGGAGCCCGGGAGAGGUGAGUGGAACUGCGAGUGUAGAGGUGAAAUUCGUAGAUAUUCGCAAGAACACCAGUGGCGAAGGCGGCUCACUGGCCCGGUACUGACACUGAGGUGCG